CAAUAGCGGACCGACUGAAUGCAACAAAUGUGACUGGGCAAAAAUGAACCUGGCAACAAGUCAAGAUCAAAUAUAAAAACUGUUUGCAGGCUGCAGUUAGAAGACUCAUUUGUCUGGCACUG
This is a long non-coding RNA of Esox lucius (northern pike), 122 nucleotides long. RefSeq lists it as uncharacterized. The transcript has 3 exons. NCBI's taxonomy places the organism in Eukaryota, Metazoa, Chordata, Actinopteri, Esociformes, Esocidae. The record is from RefSeq and is a predicted model, not a curated record.